Bos taurus (domestic cattle) is the source of this 1459-nucleotide long non-coding RNA. The record is from Ensembl. NCBI's taxonomy places the organism in Eukaryota, Metazoa, Chordata, Mammalia, Artiodactyla, Bovidae.
CAGCACGGAGGCUCCUGGCUCUUCCGUGAAAGGGGAAAGAAGACUCAGCAUCAGGGUCCUUUGCACUUAGAAACUCUUGCUGCAAAUCCCGUGGUAGGCUCCCUCUUCCUUUAGGACUUCUUGACAGGAAGGUUUUUCCCCCUCCAUGGACAUAGCUGGGCUUCGCAGGUGGCGCUAAUGUUAAAGAAUCCGCCUGCCAAGCUAGGAGACAACACAGGUUCGAUCACUGAGUAGGGAAGAUUUGCUGGAGGAGGCCAUGGCAACCCACUCCAGUAUUCUUGCUAGAAACAUCCCAUGGACAGAGAAGACUGUAAGGAACGGAGAAGGCAAUGGCACCCCACUCCAGUACUCUUGCCUGGAAAAUCCCAUGGACGGAGGAGCCUGUCGUGCAUCGUUUUUCCCUGCGGUAGAGCUUUUGUGACACAGCGUGGUGGCUGGUUCUUGGUUGGCACAUGCGCAGUACAGGGGCCGCCUCUUCUGUUCCCGCACUCAGAGUUCACCUUGUUCUACUCGUGGAACUCCUUUCCUGCUGAGACCUGCACUUGCCUCAAGACUGCUCAGCACAGUCCUUGAACUUGGCAUACGGGGAGCCAGUUCGCUAACCGUGAGUUCACUGUUAACACAGUGGCUCUUCAGGAUGGAGCAUCUUUGUCUCUGGCCUCAGUGGGGUAGCCAAAGUACUUAGCAGGCACUCAGUGCAACUUCGUUGAAUGAAUGUCGAUUCCAGUAGUUAAAGCAAAGGUCUGAAAUUGUGGUCCUCAACCCCCACCUCCACCGCCACACACACACCUUCUAGGAUAAAUCCAUCAGUUCUAGAGUUUAAAAUAGCCCCAAGUGAUUUUGAUAGAAACUCACCCCCUCAAUUUGAAAACUAUUGACUGAAAUAUAAAAACGCAGCUUUUGGAGUUGAAGAAGAGGACAUACAGGGUAAGGAGAAAUGUAUUCUGUUGAUAAAUUGUUACUAGAGGACAAGGAAAAAAAGUUGUCUUUCUCGUUCUUUUGCACAAUUAACCUUUAGUAAAAGUAAAUAAUUAUUUCAGGAGGUACACUCUGACCAAGUGUGACUCUUGAUGAUAGCAUAGUGUUUUGUUUUCUCUUUUAUUGUUAGACAAAAAUAAUGCCACUUUCAAAGAACUGAUAAAUCUGAGUAAAACUCUUUACAGAAGGGAACAACUGAGUCCCUGUAGCCUAUUAAGUAAAGCUCCACCCUUGGCCUUCUAAUUCCUUCAGGGAGCUAAAUCAUUCAUCAAACAUUUAUUGAGACUCUGAUGUGUGCCAGGUAUAGGGCUCUGCUCCAAAGACAGAAGACAGUCAGAUAGAAUUCCUUUUUCCUCCAGUGAGGAAGUAACUGUUGGCAUGUGCAGUUUGCUGUGACAGCAGUCCAUCAUAAAUAUCCCUUUCAGUUCUCAGAAUCAGUAAUGCUUUCCCCCUUUUAUUCCUGUUACGGGUAAUCUGUGCC